GACGAACCGUGCGAACGUUGUUCGGAAUCACUGGGCUUAAAGGGCGCGUAGGCGGGCUGCCAAGUCUGGGGUGAAAUCCCACGGCUCAACCGUGGAACUGCCUCGGAUACUGGCGGCCUCGAGGGGGGUAGGGGCAUGCGGAACUGUGGGUGGAGCGGUGAAAUGCGUUGAUAUCCACAGGAACUCCGGUGGCGAAGGCGGCAUGCUGGACCUCUACUGACGCUGAGGCGCGAAAGCCAGGGGAGCAAACGGG
RNAcentral lists this ribosomal RNA (253 nucleotides) under uncultured bacterium. RNAcentral describes it as "partial 16S ribosomal RNA". It matches the Rfam family "Bacterial small subunit ribosomal RNA", at positions 524 to 776 of the family's 1533-position model. The record is from RNAcentral.